Molecule: long non-coding RNA, 1158 nt
Filed under: Mytilus galloprovincialis (Mediterranean mussel)
Lineage: Eukaryota; Metazoa; Mollusca; Bivalvia; Mytilida; Mytilidae
Source: RNAcentral
GUUGGGACCAAAACUCCCAAAAUCAAUACCAACCUUCCUUUUAUGGUCAUAAACCUUGUGUUUAAAUUUCAUAGAUUUCUAUUUACUUAUACUAACGUUAUGGUGCGAAAACCAAGAAAAAUGCUAAUUUGGGUCCCUUUUUGGCCCCUUAUUCCUAAACUGUUGGGACCUAAACUCCCAAAAUCAAACCCAACCUUCCUUUUGUAGUCAUUAACAUUGUGUUUAAAUUUCAUUGAUUUCUAUUUACUUAAACUAAAGUUAUUGUGCGAAAACCAAGAAUAAUGCUUAUUUGGGCCCUUUUUUGGCCCCUAAUUCCUAAACUGUUGAAACCUAAACUCCCAAAUUCAAUCCCAACCGUUCUUUUGUGGUCAUAAACCUUGUGUCAAAAUUUCAUAGAUUUCUAUUAACUUAAACUAAAGUUAUAGUGCGAAAACCAAGAAAAUGCUUAUUUGGGCCCUUUUUGGCCCCUAAUUCCUAAAAUAUUGGGACCAAAACUCCCAAAAUCAAUACCAACCUUCCUUUUGUGGUCAUAAACCUUGUGUUAAAAUUUCAUAGAUUUCCAUUCACUUUUAUUAAAGUUAGAGUGCGAAAACUAAAAGUAUUCGGACGCCGGACGACGACGACGACGACGACGACGACGACGACGACGACGCAGACGCCAACGUGAUAGCAAUAUACGACGAAAAAUUUUUCAAAUUUUGCGGUCGUAUAAAAACAGCAAAAUUUCCUUAAAAUUACCGAUUCAGGGGCAGCAACCCAACAACCGAUUGACCGAUUCAUCUGAAAAUUUCAGGGCAGAUAAAUCUUGACCUGAUAAACAUUUUUACCCCAUGUCAGAUUUGCUCUGAAUGCUUUGGUUUUUGAGUUAUAAGCCAAAAACUGCAUUUUACCCCUAUGUUCUAUUUUUAGCCGUGGCGGCCAUCUUGGUUGGUUGACCGGGUCACGCCACACAUUUUUUAAACUAGAUACCCCAAUGAUGAUUGUGGCCAAGUUUGGUUUGAUUUGGCCCAGUAGUUUCAGAGGAGAAGAUUUUUGUAAAAGUUAACGACGACAGACGACGACGACGACGGACGCCGGACGCCGGACGCCAAGUGAUGAGAAAAGCUCACUUGGCCCUUCGGGCCAGGUGAGCUAAAAAUUGGCACAUCAUGUUAAGAA